AGUUUAUAGUUCUUGAGAGUAUGGUACACUGGAAAAAAAUGACAAUGGGGGAUUGUUGAAUUUGCAAAAAUGCAUUUAGUAUUUCCAACAUGAUUAAUUUAUGUUUCUCAUCUAAACAUAUUUUAGUCUUGUGUCAUUCAAUUAAUGUUGUUAGGAUGUUGAUUAGGAUGUUCAACUUUUUAGAAUUAAUCAUGUUGAAAUGUAAUAAUUUAGUUAUGUUUUCUCUGGAAAGUCCGCCCCCUUGGAACGCGCAAGGAAAACUAAUUAACUGCUCUCCAGUCCGCCAUUUUCUCUCUCGCUGUGGAGGUGGAAGCUGAUGCAUUGCGGUGGAUUUCAACAGUGUGAAAAGAUACCUGAUACUCAUCUAUUCACGUGAACUUUGAUAGGCAAAGGCUCUAUAGUAGUGAGAAUGUAGCAGUGGAAAGGGUGCUGAGUAGCAGUUUCCAGUAGAUUGGCACUACUAAACCAUUAUUAAGUCAAGCAUCCUCAUUUUGUUUUUCUUAAUUCAUUCAUUGAAUUUAAGCUUUUUUUAACUUCACACAGAGAAAGCUUAUUUUUUGUAGCCCAUACUCUGUGAAAAAUAUUUUUUUUUGUUAAAAAUAACAGUGAUUUGUCUUGCCUUACUGCUUUUAAAACUGAAAAAAAAAAAAACAUCAAGGGAAGCUUUGGACUACUUGUUACUCAUUACAGUUCAUCUUUUUCACUACACCUGUUUGAUGGUGAAUUGUUGCAUUUUACUGUAUCUGAUCUGGUCUAUUGACAGGAAAUGCCGUAGUUCAUAGUCAUCCAUUCAUCCUAUACUAAAAAAAAUUAAUUGUACUGUUAAAAUUAUAGUGAUU
This is a long non-coding RNA of Onychostoma macrolepis, 839 nucleotides long. RefSeq lists it as uncharacterized. NCBI's taxonomy places the organism in Eukaryota, Metazoa, Chordata, Actinopteri, Cypriniformes, Cyprinidae. The transcript has 3 exons. The record is from RefSeq and is a predicted model, not a curated record.